UACGAAGGGGGGCUAGCGUUGCUCGGAUUUUACUGGGCGUAAAGGGCGCGUAGGCGGACAGUUAAGUUGGGGGGUGAAAGCCCGGGCUCAACCUCGGAAUUGCCUUCAAUACUGGCUGUCUUGAGUGUGAGAGAGGUGUGUGGAACUCCGAGUGUAGAGGUGAAAUUCGUAGAUAUUCGGAAGAACACCAGUGGCGAAGGCGACACACUGGCUCACUACUGACGCUGAGGCGCGAAAGCGUGGGGAGCAAACAGG
This 255-nucleotide ribosomal RNA is filed under the name uncultured bacterium. RNAcentral's name for it is "partial 16S ribosomal RNA". It matches the Rfam family "Bacterial small subunit ribosomal RNA", at positions 524 to 776 of the family's 1533-position model. The record is from RNAcentral.